This 811-nucleotide ribosomal RNA is filed under the name Aphelinidae sp. D1731A. RNAcentral describes it as "eukaryotic LSU rRNA". It matches the Rfam family "Eukaryotic large subunit ribosomal RNA", at positions 394 to 944 of the family's 3401-position model. The record is from RNAcentral. Lineage: Eukaryota; Metazoa; Arthropoda; Insecta; Hymenoptera; Aphelinidae.
AGUACGUGAAACCGUUCAGGGGUAAACCUGAGAAACCCAAAAGAUCGAAUGGGGAGAUUCAUCGUCAGCUGCUUUGGCUUCCGUGCGAGCGCGAUGAUCGGGACUUCGGUUCCGUGUCACGCGCUCGCUGCGGUAUGUCCGGAGUGGUCGGCGUGCACUUYUCCCCUAGUAGGACGUCGCGACCCGUUGGGUGUUGGUCUACGGCCCGGAAGGUCGCCUGGCACGUCUCGUUCACGCGUGCACGAGCCAGACCUCUGGUUGCCCGACCGGCUGCCCGGCGGUAUAGAACGAUAAUUAACGGUAUUGAGUCGCACAAAGUGCGUUCAGGCCCGAUGGCAGGCUCAUCUCUCUCGGAUUUACGGACCUAGUGCCGUUGCCGGGUGCUUGGUGUGGCUGUGGUCAUCGGUGUCCUCGGACUGGCUCGAAAUAUUCGAACGGAUAUACCGGUCGGCGACGCUACUGCUUUGGGUACUUUCAGGACCCGUCUUGAAACACGGACCAAGGAGUCUAACAUGUGCGCGAGUCAUUGGGUAUUAAUUAAACCUAAAGGCGCAAUGAAAGUGAAAGUCGUCCUUUGCGUCGACCAAGGGAGGAUGGCUCGCGUCACGAUGCGAGUCCGCACUCCCGGGGCGUCUCGUGCUCAUUGCGAGCUGAGGCGCACCCAGAGCGUACACGUUGGGACCCGAAAGAUGGUGAACUAUGCCUGGUCAGGACGAAGUCAGGGGAAACCCUGAUGGAGGUCCGUAGCGAUUCUGACGUGCAAAUCGAUCGUCGGAACUGGGUAUAGGGGCGAAAGACUAAUCGAACCAUC